RNAcentral lists this ribosomal RNA (759 nucleotides) under uncultured bacterium. RNAcentral describes it as "bacterial SSU rRNA". It matches the Rfam family "Bacterial small subunit ribosomal RNA", at positions 564 to 1332 of the family's 1533-position model. The record is from RNAcentral.
AGAGUUGCGUAGGUGGCACUGUUAAGUGGAGCGUGAAAGCGUGCGGCUCAACCGCAUUACUGCGUUCCAAACUGCAGAGCUUGAGUAUGAGAGAGGUAGAUGGAUUUCCCAGUGUAGGAGUGAAAUCCGUAGAUAUUGGGAGGAACACCGAUGGCGUAGGCAGUCUACUGGCUCAUUACUGACACUAAGGCACGAAAGCGUGGGGAGCAAACGGGAUUAGAUACCCCGGUAGUCCACGCCGUAAACUAUGGAUGCUAGCUGUGACACACAUCGACCUGUGUCGUAGCGAAGUUAACGCGUUAAGCAUCCCGCCUGGGGAGUACGGUCGCAAGAUUAAAACUCAAAGGAAUUGACGGGGACCCGCACAAGCGGUGGAGCGUGUUGUUUAAUUCGAUGGUAAGCGAAGAACCUUACCAAGGCUUGAAAUCCCGAUAGCAGUUCAUCGAAAGAAGAACCUCAUUUAGUUGGAUCGGUGACAGGUGAUGCAUGGCCGUCGUCAGCUCGUGUCGUGAGAUGUAUGGUUAAGUCCAUUAACGAGCGCAACCCUUAUGUUUAGUUGGAUUUUUCUAAACAGACUGCCCUGGCAACAGGGAGGAGGGAGGGGAUGACGUCAGGUCAGUAUUUCCCUUACGUCUUGGGCUACAAACACGCUACAAUGGCCGGUACAAAGGGCAGCGAACCCGCGAGGGGAAGCAAAUCUCAUCAAAACCGGUUUCAGUUCGGAUUGCAGGCUGAAACUCGCCUGCAUGAAGCUGGAAU